RNAcentral lists this ribosomal RNA (191 nucleotides) under Pseudoalteromonas sp. UCD-33C. RNAcentral's name for it is "partial 23S ribosomal RNA". It matches the Rfam family "Bacterial large subunit ribosomal RNA", at positions 2758 to 2925 of the family's 2925-position model. Lineage: Bacteria; Pseudomonadati; Pseudomonadota; Gammaproteobacteria; Alteromonadales; Pseudoalteromonadaceae. The record is from RNAcentral.
GAACUGAUAAGCGCUGAAAGCAUCUAAGCGCGAAGCAGGCCUCGAGAUGAGUUCUCACUAGACUUUUAAAGUCUCUGAAGGGCCGUUGAAGACUACAACGUUGAUAGGCAGGAUGUGGAAGUGGUGCGAGCCAUUAAGCUAACCUGUACUAAUUACCCGUGAGGCUUAACCAUACAACGCCAAACGCGUUU